ACUUAAAUUGAAGAGUUUGAUCAUGGCUCAGAUUGAACGCUGGCGGCAGGCCUAACACAUGCAAGUCGAGCGGUAGCACAGAGAGCUUGCUCUCGGGUGACGAGCGGCGGACGGGUGAGUAAUGUCUGGGAAACUGCCUGAUGGAGGGGGAUAACUACUGGAAACGGUAGCUAAUACCGCAUAAUGUCGCAAGACCAAAGUGGGGGACCUUCGGGCCUCAUGCCAUCAGAUGUGCCCAGAUGGGAUUAGCUAGUAGGUGGGGUAAUGGCUCACCUAGGCGACGAUCCCUAGCUGGUCUGAGAGGAUGACCAGCCACACUGGAACUGAGACACGGUCCAGACUCCUACGGGAGGCAGCAGUGGGGAAUAUUGCACAAUGGGCGCAAGCCUGAUGCAGCCAUGCCGCGUGUGUGAAGAAGGCCUUCGGGUUGUAAAGCACUUUCAGCGGGGAGGAAGGCGUUAAGGUUAAUAACCUUGGCGAUUGACGUUACCCGCAGAAGAAGCACCGGCUAACUCCGUGCCAGCAGCCGCGGUAAUACGGAGGGUGCAAGCGUUAAUCGGAAUUACUGGGCGUAAAGCGCACGCAGGCGGUCUGUCAAGUCGGAUGUGAAAUCCCCGGGCUCAACCUGGGAACUGCAUUCGAAACUGGCAGGCUAGAGUCUUGUAGAGGGGGGUAGAAUUCCAGGUGUAGCGGUGAAAUGCGUAGAGAUCUGGAGGAAUACCGGUGGCGAAGGCGGCCCCCUGGACAAAGACUGACGCUCAGGUGCGAAAGCGUGGGGAGCAAACAGGAUUAGAUACCCUGGUAGUCCACGCCGUAAACGAUGUCGAUUUGGAGGUUGUGCCCUUGAGGCGUGGCUUCCGGAGCUAACGCGUUAAAUCGACCGCCUGGGGAGUACGGCCGCAAGGUUAAAACUCAAAUGAAUUGACGGGGGCCCGCACAAGCGGUGGAGCAUGUGGUUUAAUUCGAUGCAACGCGAAGAACCUUACCUGGUCUUGACAUCCACAGAACUUUCCAGAGAUGGAUUGGUGCCUUCGGGAACUGUGAGACAGGUGCUGCAUGGCUGUCGUCAGCUCGUGUUGUGAAAUGUUGGGUUAAGUCCCGCAACGAGCGCAACCCUUAUCCUUUGUUGCCAGCGGUCCGGCCGGGAACUCAAAGGAGACUGCCAGUGAUAAACUGGAGGAAGGUGGGGAUGACGUCAAGUCAUCAUGGCCCUUACGACCAGGGCUACACACGUGCUACAAUGGCAUAUACAAAGAGAAGCGACCUCGCGAGAGCAAGCGGACCUCAUAAAGUAUGUCGUAGUCCGGAUUGGAGUCUGCAACUCGACUCCAUGAAGUCGGAAUCGCUAGUAAUCGUAGAUCAGAAUGCUACGGUGAAUACGUUCCCGGGCCUUGUACACACCGCCCGUCACACCAUGGGAGUGGGUUGCAAAAGAAGUAGGUAGCUUAACCUUCGGGAGGGCGCUUACCACUUUGUGAUUCAUGACUGGGGUGAAGUCGUAACAAGGUAACCGUAGGGGAACCUGCGGUUGGAUCACCUCCUUACCUUAAAGAA
RNAcentral lists this ribosomal RNA (1554 nucleotides) under Klebsiella pneumoniae. RNAcentral's name for it is "bacterial SSU rRNA". It matches the Rfam family "Bacterial small subunit ribosomal RNA". The record is from RNAcentral. Lineage: Bacteria; Pseudomonadati; Pseudomonadota; Gammaproteobacteria; Enterobacterales; Enterobacteriaceae.